GCGGGGAACGCAGGGUGAUGUUUCUUUUGAAGAUUUAGGAAUAAAAGUAAGCAGCAAGUCUGUAACAUCACCAAGAAUGUGUGCUAAGGCUGCUUUGGAAACGAUUCUGGCUCCUUCUGCAUUUCUCAGCCUGAUGAUCCAUGGCAGUUCCUGAAAACCUUCAACAUUCAGUCUCAGCGGGUCAGCAUCUAAGUGAAUUCUGGCUCUGCCUUGCUGGACACUGGAGCUCUGUCUCCAUCCCACUGGAAAGUCUGCUGCUCUUCCAUUCUCCAGAGGCUAGAAGCUGUGACAUCUGGCUGCCCUCUUCCUCCCAUCUCAUCUUAUCCACACAGAAUGGUGGUGAGAGCCAGGACCAGAGGAACUGGACACAACUCCUGACUGUCGCUGACCAGCUCUGGGCCCUCCUUCAACGGGUUUCUCUGUGCCUCAGUGGAGUCAUUUAUGAAGCAACGAGAACAAGAUGUACCUCACUGGGACAUUGUUAGGAAUAAAAGCAACAGCUGCUCAGAGCCCACUGGGCACUGGUCUCAACAUA
Molecule: long non-coding RNA, 535 nt
Organism: Marmota flaviventris (yellow-bellied marmot)
Lineage: Eukaryota; Metazoa; Chordata; Mammalia; Rodentia; Sciuridae
Source: RefSeq, a predicted model, not a curated record